GACGAACGCUGGCGGCGUGCCUAAUACAUGCAAGUUGAGCGCUGAAGGUUGGUACUUGUACCAACUGGAUGAGCAGCGAACGGGUGAGUAACGCGUGGGGAAUCUGCCUUUGAGCGGGGGACAACAUUUGGAAACGAAUGCUAAUACCGCAUAAAAACUUUAAACACAAGUUUUAAGUUUGAAAGAUGCAAUUGCAUCACUCAAAGAUGAUCCCGCGUUGUAUUAGCUAGUUGGUGAGGUAAAGGCUCACCAAGGCGAUGAUACAUAGCCGACCUGAGAGGGGGACGGGCCUCCUUGGGAAGGAGACGCAGGCCAAACUCCUGCGGGUAGCGGCAGUGGGGAAUCUUCGGCAAAGGACGAAAGUCUAGCCGGGCAACGCCGAGGGAGUGAGGUAGAUUUUCGGAUCGUAAAACUCUGUUGGUAGCGAAGACCGUUGGAGGGAGUGGAGAGCUCAUCAAGUGAGGGUAACUACCCAGAAAAGGACGGCUAACUACGUG
RNAcentral lists this ribosomal RNA (497 nucleotides) under uncultured bacterium. RNAcentral's name for it is "partial 16S ribosomal RNA". It matches the Rfam family "Bacterial small subunit ribosomal RNA", at positions 28 to 507 of the family's 1533-position model. The record is from RNAcentral.